GAUGAACGCUGGCGGCGUGCCUAAUACAUGCAAGUCGAGCGAACAGACGAGGAGCUUGCUCCUCUGACGUUAGCGGCGGACGGGUGAGUAACACGUGGAUAACCUACCUAUAAGACUGGGAUAACUUCGGGAAACCGGAGCUAAUACCGGAUAAUAUAUUGAACCGCAUGGUUCAAUAGUGAAAGACGGUUUUGCUGUCACUUAUAGAUGGAUCCGCGCCGCAUUAGCUAGUUGGUAAGGUAACGGCUUACCAAGGCAACGAUGCGUAGCCGACCUGAGAGGGUGAUCGGCCACACUGGAACUGAGACACGGUCCAGACUCCUACGGGAGGCAGCAGUAGGGAAUCUUCCGCAAUGGGCGAAAGCCUGACGGAGCAACGCCGCGUGAGUGAUGAAGGUCUUCGGAUCGUGAAACUCUGUUAUUAGGGAAGAACAAAUGGGUAAGUAACUAUGCACGUCUUGACGGUACCUAAUCAGAAAGCCACGGCUAACUACGUG
This 497-nucleotide ribosomal RNA is filed under the name uncultured bacterium. RNAcentral's name for it is "partial 16S ribosomal RNA". It matches the Rfam family "Bacterial small subunit ribosomal RNA", at positions 28 to 507 of the family's 1533-position model. The record is from RNAcentral.